Grammomys surdaster is the source of this 297-nucleotide long non-coding RNA. RefSeq lists it as uncharacterized. The transcript has 3 exons. NCBI's taxonomy places the organism in Eukaryota, Metazoa, Chordata, Mammalia, Rodentia, Muridae. The record is from RefSeq and is a predicted model, not a curated record.
ACAGCAACCACAUGCAGUAGACUCGUCAUGUGUUUUCCUGGGCUCGGGCUCCUGACAUGGAGGUAUAAAAAAAAUUCAGCACGAACUCAAACAGACCAGAGACCAGGACCAGAGCCUCCUGCAGACAGAGCUGCUGCAGAAGGAACAAUGAGCAUGCCAGAACCCCUGAGAGAAAUGAGGAUGAUGAAGGAAAACAUGGACAACUUGAAUUCAUGACAUUCAUCAGUCUAGGAUCAAGACCUCCUCAAAAAAGCCACCUCAUUGUAGCUGAGAACUCCACAGUGAGUCAGAUAUCAA